RNAcentral lists this small nuclear RNA (286 nucleotides) under Castor canadensis (American beaver). RNAcentral describes it as "7SK RNA (ENSCCNG00000002300.1)". It matches the Rfam family "7SK RNA". From Rfam's summary of the family: 7SK was discovered as an abundant small nuclear RNA in the mid-70s but a possible function has only recently been suggested. Two independent studies have found that 7SK RNA binds the CDK9/cyclin T complex (known as elongation factor P-TEFb). The record is from Rfam by way of RNAcentral. Lineage: Eukaryota; Metazoa; Chordata; Mammalia; Rodentia; Castoridae.
AGAUGUGAGGGUGAUCUGGCUGUGACAUCUAUCACCCAUGGAUUACCAGGGUUGAUUCAGUUGAUCUGACUGGCUAGGCGGGUGUCCCCUUCCUCUCUUACCCCUCCAUGUGCAUCCCUCCCAAAGCCGCAUGCUCUGUCGAAGAGGACGGCCAUCCCCAACAGAGAAGGACUGUUGUUUGGUCAAGGGUCUAUGCAUAGCUGUGCUCCCCUGUUAGAAUCUCCAAACAUGCUCCCAAAAUCUUGUGAUAAUCUUCAAUCUUUUUCUCUCUAUAUGCAAUCUGUUU